RNAcentral lists this transfer RNA (68 nucleotides) under Plesionika ortmanni. RNAcentral's name for it is "tRNA-Phe". It matches the Rfam family "tRNA". Rfam says of the family: Transfer RNA (tRNA) molecules are approximately 80 nucleotides in length. Their secondary structure includes four short double-helical elements and three loops (D, anti-codon, and T loops). Further hydrogen bonds mediate the characteristic L-shaped molecular structure. tRNAs have two regions of fundamental functional importance: the anti-codon, which is responsible for specific mRNA codon recognition, and the 3' end, to which the tRNAs corresponding amino acid is attached (by aminoacyl-tRNA synthetases). tRNAs cope with the degeneracy of the genetic code in two manners: having more than one tRNA (with a specific anti-codon) for a particular amino acid; and 'wobble' base-pairing, i.e. permitting non-standard base-pairing at the 3rd anti-codon position. The record is from RNAcentral. Lineage: Eukaryota; Metazoa; Arthropoda; Malacostraca; Decapoda; Pandalidae.
ACCCUGAUAGCUUAAAUAUUAGAGCACUACAUUGAAGCUGUAGUUGUGGUAGAAAUUGCCUCUGGGUG